Molecule: long non-coding RNA, 551 nt
Filed under: Homo sapiens (human)
Lineage: Eukaryota; Metazoa; Chordata; Mammalia; Primates; Hominidae
Description: HSALNT0003829
Source: RNAcentral
AUAGAAGCCCCAUCGUAUCAAUCAUGUGACAACGGCAGGGACGAUUACCAGAAAGAUGGGGAGGAUGCACUGAAAAGUCACCGCAAAAGGUUUCCACUGUAGGAAACUGAGGCUCAGGGAGUUGAACAAUUUGCUCAAGAUCACCCAGAGUUAAUGAAGCCCAGAUUCUAACUCAUUUUGUUUUUUUCCUCCAAAUCUAGGUCCUUUUCUCCAUACCACCCAGCCUCCCCACAAAAAGGGAGAUACCUUGGUUAGAUGCCUAAGCCUUGAUUGAAAAGUAACUCCAGAUGACCCAUUUCAUUAAAUAAUCCAUGGAGGACAGGGCCAGAGUUGAUUCCAUCAGACACCCUCUCCUGAGAAUCUGAAUUUUGAAACAGUGCGGGCAGGAUAGGAGAUCUUGUUGGAAAUCAUUCAUCAUGGUGGUAGUGGCAGCACUCAGGUGAAAAUGUGCCUGCAACCUGAUCCUAGGCCUUCCAACUCUCCUUUGGUUCCUGUGUAUCCCCAAGCUUGCUUCUCCAGCUACCUACAACUUAUUUGAGCCCCACCCACAU